UUGGUAACCUAGGUGACGGAAGAGCUGAGGAGACAGGACAUGAGACACUGAGUUUGCCAAAAACCAAAGAGACCUGGGAAGAUGAUAUUGUUGGACCUUAGAAACUGGCUCACUCUGUGUAUCUAGAACUACAUGGGGGAUUGCAAGGCUCCCAGAACAGUGGGCAGGUGCAGGCGGAGUUAGAGAUGCCCACUGUAGUGUAAUGAGACAAGAGCCUGGUUUCUCCUUGCUUUCCAACCUCCUCCCAAUAUCUCCCGUGAAACAAAGCCAAGUAGAAGCCACCAUUUCUGAGGUGCAGAACAGAGACAGAAGGUAGAAAAAGGCCCUGAAACAAAGUCCAAAGGAGGACAAAUCCCAGGUACUGUUGGAAGAGUUUUAGGUCAGCUAGUCACAGUAAGGAAGCUUCUGGAAGACUUCAGGACCACCCCCUGAGGGGAAUCGGUAGAUGUUACUUCAUGGAGGGCAGCUGAGGUACAGAGAUCAUGAACCUGUGUGGUAGUAAGAAGCCUCCUGAUAAUUAACACCAUUUUGUUUGUCUGACUCUGCCAUCACUGAGCUGAUGUCAGUAUCACAGAUGAAGCUUUAAGAAACACCACAUGAUCAGCCUCACGGUGUUUUACUGCACUAUCAAUCAAGAGUUCUAUUUACAGAACAGCUUGAGUGAGUGAUGCCGUGACUUCGUAAAGCAUCGCCGACAGAUCCAAAGGAUACAGUCUGAAACUGCCAGACACAUGGAGAAGUGGGAAAAUUGACUUCAAGCAAGCAAGAAGUCAAUAGGAAAUGGCCUCAGAAUGACCAAGAUGUUCAUCAAACAAGGUUUUCAAUAUAGCUACUGUAAUUAUUGCUCACACAGAGGAAAAUACACUUCAAAUGAAUAGAUAUAAAGGAAAUCUCAUCAGAGAAUCAUGAACCAUUAAAAAAAAAGCCCAAAGGAAUAGUGUCAGUAAAGAUACAAUACCUAAAAAUUAAAAAUUUACUGCAUGUUUUGGCAGCAUACUAGAUUUGAUAGAGGCGUCAGCGAUGAAACAGUGCAGGACAAAGACAUAACAAUUUCAGGAGAAACUUUCAUAAAACCAUAUGAAACCAUGGUGGACACCAAUGCCUGGAAUAUAGUUGUAAUUUGAGUCUCAUAAAGAAAAGAGAACAAUGAGAGGAAAAGCUGUUUGAAGUAGACAGGAUGUAACAAGGAAAUCUAGAAAAUAGCUAGGGAAAGACACUUAGUAGGCAAAGGAAAAAAAAUUUGGGAUAGUCACUGAUUUCUCAUAAGAAACAUGGGAGACCAGAAGGAAAUGAAGUAACUUCUUUAAAGUUUUGAAAGAAGGAACAACUGUCAACCUCAAAUUCUAUAUUUAUUAAAUUUGUUCCAUAUAAAUAAGGGCAAAGAAAAACAUUUUCAAACUAAAAACAAUCAAGAGAAUUUGUCAACAGCAACAAUUCACUAGAGACACUAAUGAAGAUCUUCUGAUGGAAAGUAAGUCAGACCAGAUGGGAACUUCUAUUUUGGGGAAGGAAUGAAAGGCAUUAGAGACAGCAAAUGCACAGGACAGAAGCACAGACUGUUCUGCAGGUGCCUGAGUUCUACACAUAUCCCAUCAGAGUCCCUUGGCUGUGGACAGCGGUAAGGUCAGCUGGGAAGUCUGAGCAUCUUGUGUACCAGAAAAGGGAAAGGACAUAUUUGGAUGGACAACUGCAUAUUUGUAUUAUUGGUUAAAAUAAGCAUUAGAAAAGAGCAAAUCAAACUUCCUUAGCAAUUGCUGGUUAGAAAAUUUAGUGGAAAGGUAUCUUUUAACUAAUGGAUCUAAAAACUUCUGGAAAAAAAUUUAACCAGAAAUGUCCAGUAUCUACCUAAAUGGAAUAAAAAAUGUUAAAAAAUGUAAAAGUUGAUAAAUUAGAAGAAAGGCAAACUUUUUGGACGGAGAAACUGAGUAUAAAAUACCUUCCAGUACCAUCCCAAAUAGCUGCCUGAGACCUCAAUUUAUUGACUCUAAUGGAGAUGGGAGAGGGAACGAUGAGACCGAUAGUGACAUGAUGUGUGGCUUCGCCGAGGUCAUGGGCUUGGUUAAUUCCUUUCCAGGGGGACCGAAGAGAGAAGGAGAGCGGGAAGGCUGUUCCCAGGAAGACUCCCUGAACUCCAGCCUGAAGUUCAUCCCCUAGGAGGAGUGAAGGACAAAAGACACAGUGGACAUGGGCCAGCUCUCCGUCAUGGAGCUUCUGAGAAGCUGUCAUGUACAUCACUACAUUUUUGUUUUGUUUUGUUAAUUAGCUGAAUUUCAUUUCAUUAUUAUAAUGAAUAGGAGAAAAAUCAAUGUGGAAAUAUUGGACAUGUGCAUCCGAGGAAGACCUGUUUUCUGAUUGGCUUUGAGCACAGGAUUCAAAUGUAUAAACAUUAACAUAGUGAUGUUAAGCAAA
Long non-coding RNA from Peromyscus eremicus (cactus mouse), 2409 nucleotides. RefSeq lists it as uncharacterized. The record is from RefSeq and is a predicted model, not a curated record. NCBI's taxonomy places the organism in Eukaryota, Metazoa, Chordata, Mammalia, Rodentia, Cricetidae. The transcript has 7 exons.